RNAcentral lists this ribosomal RNA (253 nucleotides) under uncultured bacterium. Its description in RNAcentral is "partial 16S ribosomal RNA". It matches the Rfam family "Bacterial small subunit ribosomal RNA", at positions 524 to 776 of the family's 1533-position model. The record is from RNAcentral.
UACGUAGGGUGCGAGCGUUAAUCGGAAUUACUGGGCGUAAAGCGUGCGCAGGCGGUUAUGUAAGACAGGUGUGAAAUCCCCGGGCUUAACCUGGGAACUGCAUUUGUGACUGCAUAGCUAGAGUACGGUAGAGGGGGAUGGAAUUCCGCGUGUAGCAGUGAAAUGCGCAGAUAUCGGGAGGAACACCGGUGGCGAAGGCGGUUCUCUGGGCCUGACCUGACGCUGAGGAGCGAAAGCGUGGGGAGCGAACAGG